UACGGAGGGUGCAAGCGUUAAUCGGAAUUACUGGGCGUAAAGCGCGCGUAGGCGGCCGUUUAAGUCGGAUGUGAAAGCCCUGGGCUCAACCUGGGAACUGCAUUCGAUACUGUGCAGCUAGAGUAUAGGAGAGGAGUGUGGAAUUUCAGGUGUAGCGGUGAAAUGCGUAGAGAUCUGAAGGAACACCAGUGGCGAAGGCGACACUCUGGCCUAAUACUGACGCUGAGGUGCGAAAGCGUGGGGAGCAAACAGG
This 253-nucleotide ribosomal RNA is filed under the name uncultured Cellvibrionales bacterium. RNAcentral describes it as "partial 16S ribosomal RNA". It matches the Rfam family "Bacterial small subunit ribosomal RNA", at positions 524 to 776 of the family's 1533-position model. The record is from RNAcentral. Lineage: Bacteria; Pseudomonadati; Pseudomonadota; Gammaproteobacteria; Cellvibrionales.